GCCGGCGUGGCUCAAUUGGCAGAGCACCUGAUUUGUAAUCAGGGGGUUGUGGGUUCGACUCCCAUCGUCGGCUCCA
This 76-nucleotide transfer RNA is filed under the name Planctomycetota bacterium. RNAcentral's name for it is "tRNA-Thr". It matches the Rfam family "tRNA". Rfam says of the family: Transfer RNA (tRNA) molecules are approximately 80 nucleotides in length. Their secondary structure includes four short double-helical elements and three loops (D, anti-codon, and T loops). Lineage: Bacteria; Pseudomonadati; Planctomycetota. The record is from RNAcentral.